GAUGAACGCUGGCGGCGUGCCUAAUACAUGCAAGUCGAGCGAACAGACGAGGAGCUUGCUCCUUCGACGUUAGCGGCGGACGGGUGAGUAACACGUAGGUAACCUACCUAUAAGACUGGGAUAACUUCGGGAAACCGGAGCUAAUACCGGAUAAUAUUUCGAACCGCAUGGUUCGAUAGUGAAAGAUGGCUUUGCUAUCACUUAUAGAUGGACCUGCGCCGUAUUAGCUAGUUGGUAAGGUAACGGCUUACCAAGGCAACGAUACGUAGCCGACCUGAGAGGGUGAUCGGCCACACUGGAACUGAGACACGGUCCAGACUCCUACGGGAGGCAGCAGUAGGGUAUCUUCCGCAAUGGGCGAAAGCCUGACGGAGCAACGCCGCGUGAGUGAUGAAGGUCUUCGGAUCGUAAAACUCUGUUAUUAGGGAAGAACAAACGUGUAAGUAACUGUGCACGUCUUGACGGUACCUAAUCAGAAAGCCACGGCUAACUACGUG
This 497-nucleotide ribosomal RNA is filed under the name uncultured bacterium. RNAcentral describes it as "partial 16S ribosomal RNA". It matches the Rfam family "Bacterial small subunit ribosomal RNA", at positions 28 to 507 of the family's 1533-position model. The record is from RNAcentral.